AAAAAGGCACUUAAGCACUUCUAGCCUAUUGUCCCACUGUCACUGUCUUGAAAUGGAAACACAUUAUACACAGGAGUAGGAAUGCAUUUUGGAGAUUUUAGAAGGCCUGGUACAGGCAAACUGAACUCUUCUCUCCAUGCCCCAAAGUCUUCUGGAAAACUCAUAUUAAAAUAGCAAACCAAAUAAGCUAAAGUGGAAUGGCAAUCUACUUGUGUGUUUUGGAUCCAUCCCAUGGAAUGCUUUAGUGAAAUAACUCCCUAUGAAAAUCUUUUAAAAAACCCAAAACCAUUAAGACUUUCCUUUUUUAACUAUGUAUAUUUCUUUCAGAUAAACUUUUCCUUUCUGCUCAGCAGCCAAGAAAUUGUGCUUUUUAUGGGGUAGCUGAGGGUUACAUGGGUAAAAUGGACCUAAAUUUUGUGAAUUUUAGCAUGACUGUACCUCAAUUUUGAUUGCCCAUAGGAAUGCAGAUUUUGAAGUGUUGUUCCUAACUUUUCUGUGAUACAAGUGAGGCAAUUUCACUGGAAGCCUACUGAACACAGAGUUUCUUAAAGGAGGCCUUAAUAAAAGCUAAUGUUUGUUUUUGAAAUAUCUCUCAAGCUUCCCUUGGGAGACACAAAGAGAUGCUUCAUUUCCUUACAAUUUCUUUACUUUGGACCUUCUGAAAAUAGGUACUCAAGUUUUGAAUUUUAAAAAGUAAAAAACAAGAUGUUGAGAAAGGAUAGGACUAAAAACCUAGAAUUCUUGAAGAGUCUUGAGUUCAAGAAAAAUAUUUAGGGCACAUCAGCAUCUCAUCCUAGAAUGAGGAUGAGGCAUUCCUGAGCUGUCUUUGGAGCUAGGUGCAGCAUGAUCAUAUUGGAUAAUGUUCCCCUAAAUUAAGUUCUGCUGAAGGACAGGACUUGUUUAAUGCAGAACCAUGUGGGCAUGGCUGACCUGUAUAUAGCUGAGAAAAACACUGUCCCCAUGCAGUGCUGUAGCUGCAUGUCUCUGUUGGCUCUCCAUUGCACAGCUGGUAGGAUCUUUCAGUUCAUGUUUGAAAACAGAUAAGUUUUAACAAGCUUAAACAGACACUUUCAAAAAUCAGUUUCUGAAAAUCAUUGUAGUAGCUCUGUUGAUAAACUCAAUAAUACCCUUUUCAUCCUAGGAAUGGCCUUGCUAAAGAAAACACUUUUCUGAAAAAAAAAAAAAAGAAAAAUAUAAAAAGAAAAGAAAAUUAUAAACCUCAUUAGGAUUAAGACAGAGGAACAAUUCAAUUAAAUCAUCUGCCAAUUAUCUUACUGAUCUGUAAGAUGUUCAGGCUGAUGUUCGGGUUGAAUUCACCCUAUGGGCAUAUGUAUUAUUUUAACACACAGGACAUUCUGCUUUAACUGAUCACACUAUUUCUAAGUAGCUAUCCAUAAAAAAGGGACAAAUAAUUCAAAAUUCAAUGUCUAUCUAAUACAGAAACUGCAGAGAAACAUCUUCUAAAAGGUCAAAAUGACAUAAUGAGGAAAUACAUCAUUUGGGAAGUUGUGGUAAAAGUGUAUUGAAUGACAGUCAUUGUGGAAAAUUCUCAGCUGAUGCCUAUAAACCCAGUCAUAAACCCAUCAGGCCUGUUGAAACCUUGCUAUUGCUAUAGAGUGUUCAGAAAACAAAAACAAAAAAAGAAAAAUUGAUACAUCUACCCUCAAAUACACAGGUCUUUGCUUUGAUAGCAGAGUGUGGGUAUAUUGUUUUCCACAGAAGACAGUGAAGCUGCAUUGUUCAGAACUGUCAAGGGGCAAAGAAUACUCUGCCACAUACAUGGGUUGGGUGUCUUUGGUUGCCUCCCCCCGUGCAUUAGGCACUAAUUCAGCGCCAUCCGUCAGCAGAUGAAUUUUGUUCUAGGUGUCAGUUCUGGUCUCUGUGUAUUAGAUCAGGAUUAUUUUAUAAAGACCUUUUCUUCCAUGUGAAAAUCAUGUGGGUGUCUGAGACUGCUUGAUCUUGAAUUCAGUGAGAAUCUUUGUUCUCACUGUUUGUUUCUAGGCUACAGUAGGUCAGGGUUUUAAAGGCCUGGAUAAAAGCUUUAAUUAUCUUAUCAAUCCAUCAUCAAUGGUCUUGUUUAUUGGAAUAUGCAAUAACCUACUAUUUUUUCUAGCGUGAAAGAUCUUUCUUAACACAAGAGAGCAUUAAGAUGAAAAUAUCUUUGGAGAUGCUCUCAUGGGACUGUUUUUUCCAGUAAACACUCAGUGCCUGCAACAGCUUGUAUGUACAGAAAAUAUUUUCUUGUUGUACUGAAACAAGGCUGUAAGGGUACAAAUGUAUGUUGGUUGUGAAGAACAUCUCGAGCUCAUCUUUAGUCUGUUUCACACACAAGCUUCAUCUAGGUAGGUACUGAAGAAAUACUCCUCAGCCUAGACAAAAACAUACUCUCUGCUUUAAGAAAGAAUGAUCCAUGUGUGAUUUUAUGCUAGCGCUUCACAUGGAUAUAUCUAUGUACAACAUCAUUCUUUCCAUUACUGGUGGGUUCCAUUCUCAUUCCUGGUUUGGCAAAUAACUAAAGGCUUUUAAAAUACCAAAGUCCUACAUCUAACUUUUCCCUCUAUUCGGAAAACGUGUUUCUCCCUCUUCAAAAUUGUUUUACGUUAGCAAAUCUUAAGGUCCUGGCACAGUUCUGAAAAAUACCCUUUUCCUUCUUCAUUUUUUUUUUCUCUGUUGGCUGGAGGUUUUGAUUUUUUAAACCUUUGGCAUUCAGUGCUUUACCAAUCUACCUGAGGCUCUCUGUUGUUCUGUGCCAAAAGCCCACAAUAUCCUUUUUUUUUAGCCUGGUAACUUAGCACAUGGUAUAUGUUACCUUUUACAGCCUUGCCUGGGAAAAAAGGAUUUGUACAUUUUUGGAAGACGGCAGGUUUUCUGUAUCUUUGUAUAGCUCUGUAUAUCUACACACACAAAUUCAUCUGUUCUGAUAGCCAUGCUGUGGCACUACUGAAGCAGCACAUGCUUGAUUAAGUUCACUUACUGGGCUUGGAAUAAGAGACUUGGUGGAGACGUUAUACAAUUCUCUACCAAUUCAUCUGUAUUAGUGGGAGGAAGUUUACUUUUAUGAAAUAAAAUGGUAGCCAUAAAAUAAAAACUGUACUUUUUAGGCCAACCGAUGAUCUUCACAAUUCUGUUUCUUUUUGUUGUUACAGUGUUUGUUCUCAAGAGGAAAGUGUUUAAUGUAUGAAUGCAUGUGUUCUUUAUGUGAUGAUUUCUGCCUGAUAAUAAUUUGCAGAACACACCACAUGCUGCAAAUGCAGCUUUCCAAUAUCUCUGCUGAUAAUUCUCAGUUAAAGAACAGAGCCUGGAAUUCUGUGUUUCAAAAAGUUUUCGGUUUUCUUUCAUUUUUCUUUGUAAAAUCAAAAAUUCUUUGCAGUUUCUUCCUGCUUUGAAGCCAAUUCUUUUCAGGCUUUCUGCUAUCUCAGCAAACCUUUCACUUGCUUUUUCAAGUGGACUGUUUAGACAUGCAACAAGUUACAGAUUUCAGUCCUCUGCACACAGCAAAGCUGUUCCUCAUUUCUCAUUGCUGAUACCACGACAUGCUCAACUUAUCCACUCUCAUAGUCCUCGCUUAAGCUCUUAAACUUGUCAACUGUUUCCAGAUUUUUAAUUUUUUUUUAAUCCUGGUUCCAGCUGUAAAGUAGGUUAUUCAGAGUUAGAAUAAGAUUAAGUUUUUCAGAUCUUAUUCCCAAAAUAUGUCACUUAGUAUCAACUCAAAUAGUUUUGAGCAGUUCCAAAAGCUAAAACUAUGCAGAAUAAUCAAAUAUACAAUUUUUUAAAAAAUCCUUUCUUUUUUUUUUUAAUUUUUUUUCCAGCAACAUAACUACCUUUAAGUACAUGUUGAAUCGAGAAGUAAACUUGAAUUAGUGUUCUGGGAUCACUUCUUAUUCGGUACUCUCAGUCAAGAAUUGGACACAUUUGUCAUAUGAGGAUCUGUACAAGGGACAGUCUGGCACAGUGACUCUCAACGCCUGACAGUGUGUUCUGCAGGAAUACAGCUAACUGCUGAGACAUGAGUAGCCUCAUUUUUGAGGCUGAGCAGGGAACACUUCUGAGUCCGUGUGCAUUAAACUGCUGCACGUAUUUCUGCAAGAUGGGAAGCUGAGAUGAGCAUUUGUAAAAAUUACCAUUCUGCUUCUUUGUGUAUAAAUAGUUGGUUUAAGUCUCAAUUCCAAAAUUUGUUCCAGAAAAA
Molecule: non-coding RNA, 4186 nt
Organism: Taeniopygia guttata (zebra finch)
Lineage: Eukaryota; Metazoa; Chordata; Aves; Passeriformes; Estrildidae
Source: RefSeq, a predicted model, not a curated record